AGGACGAACGCUGGCGGCGUGCUUAACACAUGCAAGUCGAGCGGAAAGGCCCUUCGGGGUACUCGAGCGGCGAACGGGUGAGUAACACGUGAGCAACCUGCCCUUAGCUUCGGGAUAGCUCCGGGAAACCGGAAUUAAUACCGAAUAUGACUUUGGCUGACAUCAGCAGAAGUGGAAAGUUUUCGGCUAGGGAUGGACUCGCGGCCUAUCAGCUAGUUGGUGAGGUAACGGCCCACAAGGCGACGACGGGUA
This 252-nucleotide ribosomal RNA is filed under the name uncultured bacterium. Its description in RNAcentral is "partial small subunit ribosomal RNA". It matches the Rfam family "Bacterial small subunit ribosomal RNA", at positions 26 to 285 of the family's 1533-position model. The record is from RNAcentral.